Molecule: ribosomal RNA, 700 nt
Filed under: uncultured beta proteobacterium
Lineage: Bacteria; Pseudomonadati; Pseudomonadota; Betaproteobacteria
Description: bacterial SSU rRNA
Rfam family: Bacterial small subunit ribosomal RNA
Source: RNAcentral
AGUGGCGAACGGGUGAGUAAUGCAUCGGAACGUGCCCAGUAGUGGGGGAUAACCAGUCGAAAGACUGGCUAAUACCGCAUACGACCUACGGGUGAAAGCGGGGGACCGUAAGGCCUCGCGCUAUUGGAGCGGCCGAUGUCUGAUUAGCUAGUUGGCGGGGUAAGAGCCCACCAAGGCGACGAUCAGUAGCUGGUCUGAGAGGACGACCAGCCACACUGGGACUGAGACACGGCCCAGACUCCUACGGGAGGCAGCAGUGGGGAAUUUUGGACAAUGGGCGCAAGCCUGAUCCAGCCAUGCCGCGUGCGGGAAGAAGGCCUUCGGGUUGUAAACCGCUUUUGGCAGGAACGAAACGGCGCAAGCCAAUACCUUGCGCUAAUGACGGUACCUGCAGAAUAAGCACCGGCUAACUACGUGCCAGCAGCCGCGGUAAUACGUAGGGUGCAAGCGUUAAUCGGAAUUACUGGGCGUAAAGCGUACACAGGCGGCUUUGCAAGACAGGUGUGAAAUCCCCGGGCCUAACCUGGGAACUGCAUUUGUGACUGCAUCGCUAGAGUCUGUCAGAGGGGGGUGGAAUUCCACGUGUAGCAGUGAAAUGCGUAGAGAUGUGGAAGAACACCGAUGGCGAAGGCAGCCCCCUGGGAUGAGACUGACGCUCAUGUACGAAAGCGUGGGGAGCAAACAGGAUUAGAUAACCUGG